GUCUGACGGAGCACGCCGCGUGAGUGAUGAAGGUUUUCGGAUCGUAAAACUCUGUUGUUAGGGAAGAACAAGUACGAGAGUAACUGCUCGUACCUUGACGGUACCUAACCAGAAAGCCACGGCUAACUACGUGCCAGCAGCCGCGGUAAUACGUAGGUGGCAAGCGUUGUCCGGAAUUAUUGGGCGUAAAGCGCGCGCAGGCGGUCCUUUAAGUCUGAUGUGAAAGCCCACGGCUCAACCGUGGAGGGUCAUUGGAAACUGGGGGACUUGAGUGCAGAAGAGAAGAGUGGAAUUCCACGUGUAGCGGUGAAAUGCGUAGAGAUGUGGAGGAACACCAGUGGCGAAGGCGACUCUUUGGUCUGUAACUGACGCUGAGGCGCGAAAGCGUGGGGAGCAAACAGGAUUAGAUACCC
RNAcentral lists this ribosomal RNA (413 nucleotides) under Niallia circulans. Its description in RNAcentral is "bacterial SSU rRNA". It matches the Rfam family "Bacterial small subunit ribosomal RNA", at positions 381 to 787 of the family's 1533-position model. Lineage: Bacteria; Bacillati; Bacillota; Bacilli; Caryophanales; Bacillaceae. The record is from RNAcentral.